UACGUAGGUGGCAAGCGUUGUCCGGAUUUACUGGGCGUAAAGAGCGCGCAGGCGGUCGGAUAAGUCGAAUGUGAAAGCCCCCGGCUCAACUGGGGAGGGUCAUUCGAUACUGUUCGACUCGAAGGCAGGAGAGGGAAGUGGAAUUCCCGGUGUAGUGGUGAAAUGCGUAGAUAUCGGGAGGAACACCAGUGGCGAAGGCGGUUACCUGGAGCUUUGCUGACGCUGAUGCGCGAAAGCGUGGGGAGCGAUCCGG
This 253-nucleotide ribosomal RNA is filed under the name uncultured bacterium. RNAcentral's name for it is "partial 16S ribosomal RNA". It matches the Rfam family "Bacterial small subunit ribosomal RNA", at positions 524 to 776 of the family's 1533-position model. The record is from RNAcentral.